GAAAAGAGAUUUGAUUUCUGUGCCUAUUAACCACUCCAACAGAAGGUCGUGUGAAGAGUGAUGUUGAAGCUAUUAGUAGAAGUUAGAAAAAAAAUCUAUUUAUAAGACCAGCAGAAGAAGACCUGAACUUCAGAGGGGACCACAAAUGAAUGAAUUAAGAACACAGCUGUCUUUUCAAAAGCCAACACAAAAUGAGGAUGGGUUUUAUACAAAAGCAGCUAUUCCUGCCAAUGGGCAUAUGCAUGUCCUUCUUUCAUAUGUCACAAGCAGACCUCGGAAAUUCCCUGGGAAGUCCCCUCCACCCAGUGCCUGCAGUUUCUCCAUUUGACUAUGAUUCUGUUGGAUCUUGAGAGACUUUCUGAUCUUCAGGAAGCUCUUAUCACAAUACGGCUCUUCCUGGAGUGAGGAGACAACAUGGUACCUGGAAAGAUGAGGGGAGUGGACUGGGAAAUGGGAAUCUGUCCCAUUUCAGUUCUACCACUACCAGCCUAGUGGCUUUGGGAGGGGCCUGCAAUUUCCCUGGCCUCAAUGGUUUCAUCUGUAAAAUGGAACGGCAUGGAGACGAUGAAAGUGAAAGCAUCUGCCAUCAUGCCUGGAGGUGCUCAAGAAAUGAUUCCUUCCUGUCUGCCGACCUCAGUUUUCCAUCUUUAAGCCCUCUCUCUUAAGGAACGUGGAAUCUGUUUUCCUGAGGCUCCGUAUAAGCAUGAGGAUUUACAAUUUGAAACACCCCUUCUUACUGACAGAAGACCACUGUUCCACAUAAAUUCCAGACACAACAUCAGAGGCAAAAUUCUUCUCACCAUUUCUGCAAAUGGCCAGGAGAAGCUAUUCACAACUUCCAAACUCUGAGUCAAGACACCCAGGGACAAAUCACUGUGAGGGCUGAAAACAAGUUAUGGCAGAAGGUCCCACAUCACUGAAUCCUGAGCUGGAGGGACCUGGCAAAAGGGAGAAGAUACAAAGCAACUGGCUGAUUAAAAACUCUGAGAACUCUUCAGUCAUUUUGCAGAAGAUAUUGAUCAGCUAGAGAAUGUACAUCUCUGAACUGGGGAUUGACAUGGGUUCCAAUGAGCAUCCUGAACAGCCACCAACACUUCAAGCUCCAUUAGAUUCAUUAGUCAGAAGACCUAUUGGCAGAAUAGCUUGUGUUGUGGCCUGAAUCAGCUUCUCCUGCUUUGGACUCCAGUCAAAGGAAGAGCAACCUUAUGCAUUCCUCAGCAAGAGGGUCAGAGGAGGACAUCCAUAUGUGAUCCCUUCUGAGGUUGAUGGGACAGCAGCAUGAGGCUUGUUGUGCCGAUUUGGAAAUGGAAACCCAAGAGAGUUUGAGAAGCCCUGCCUGCCACAAGUCCUCUAUGUUCCCCCAUGAGACUGCAAGCAUCAUGAGGGCAG
Molecule: long non-coding RNA, 1389 nt
Organism: Physeter macrocephalus (sperm whale)
Lineage: Eukaryota; Metazoa; Chordata; Mammalia; Artiodactyla; Physeteridae
Exons: 7
Source: RefSeq, a predicted model, not a curated record